Molecule: ribosomal RNA, 483 nt
Filed under: uncultured bacterium
Lineage: Bacteria
Description: partial 16S ribosomal RNA
Rfam family: Bacterial small subunit ribosomal RNA
Source: RNAcentral
ACUCAAAUGAAUUGACGGGGGCCCGCACAAGCAGCGGAGCGUGUGGUUUAAUUCGACGCAACACGCAGAACCUUACCCAGGCUUGACAUGCACCUGCAAACGGGGGAAACCCCGUUGCCUUCGAGGGUGGUGCACCGGUGCUGCAUGGCUGUCGUCAGCUCGUGUCGUGAGAUGUUGGGUUAAGUCCCGCAACGAGCGCAACCCUUGCCCCGUGUUACUCGUGUCACGGGGGACUGCCGCUGGGUUCCAGCGGAGGAAGGCGGGGAUGACGUCAAGUCCGCAUGGCCCCUACGCCUGGGGCGACACACACGCUACAAUGGCCGGCGGAGUGCGCGGCGACCUCGCAAGGGGAAGCUAAUCGCGAAGGUCGGUCUCAGUGCAGAUUGGGGGCUGCAACUCGCCCCCAUGAAGGCGGAGUUGCUAGUAACCGCGUGUCAGCAGAGCGCGGUGAAUACGUACCCGGGCCUUGCACACACCGCCCGU